GGCUUGUUAGCUUAAUUAGUAGAGUGCUGCACUAUUAUUGCAGAGGUCAGUGGUUUGAAUCCAGUACAGGCCU
This 73-nucleotide transfer RNA is filed under the name Stylophora pistillata. Its description in RNAcentral is "tRNA-Asn". It matches the Rfam family "tRNA". Rfam says of the family: Transfer RNA (tRNA) molecules are approximately 80 nucleotides in length. Their secondary structure includes four short double-helical elements and three loops (D, anti-codon, and T loops). Further hydrogen bonds mediate the characteristic L-shaped molecular structure. tRNAs have two regions of fundamental functional importance: the anti-codon, which is responsible for specific mRNA codon recognition, and the 3' end, to which the tRNAs corresponding amino acid is attached (by aminoacyl-tRNA synthetases). tRNAs cope with the degeneracy of the genetic code in two manners: having more than one tRNA (with a specific anti-codon) for a particular amino acid; and 'wobble' base-pairing, i.e. permitting non-standard base-pairing at the 3rd anti-codon position. Lineage: Eukaryota; Metazoa; Cnidaria; Anthozoa; Scleractinia; Pocilloporidae. The record is from Rfam by way of RNAcentral.